UGUACAUACGGCCAUGAAAGAGAUCACUUGACACUUAUUGUUCUCUCUUUUCUUUCACAAACAGGUUGAGUUUGAAGAACAGGAAAAACAGUAGACUGUAGAGGUCUACCCGGUAUCUAUGGUUAAACAUGAUGAUCAUAAGUGCAUGUAUCAUUUUGCAGAUUCUCAUCCAGGAUGAUGCAGCUCUACAAUUUCCAUGGAGGUGAUUGAUGAUGAUAAACAAUUGGUAAAGUAGGCCUAAUAGAACAGUGAUAGGACCACAAAGAGAAAUACAACCUACAGCAGUUAUAUGAGACUGGUGUAACAGAUGUUUUCAUUCAAGAAAUCCAACAAAUUGAAGAGUGACUUAGCUUAGGAAGCACUUGAUAAAGAUGGAAAAGGUUUUUUUUUUUC
Molecule: long non-coding RNA, 393 nt
Organism: Lytechinus pictus (painted urchin)
Lineage: Eukaryota; Metazoa; Echinodermata; Echinoidea; Temnopleuroida; Toxopneustidae
Exons: 3
Source: RefSeq, a predicted model, not a curated record